This 414-nucleotide ribosomal RNA is filed under the name Nocardia asiatica. Its description in RNAcentral is "bacterial SSU rRNA". It matches the Rfam family "Bacterial small subunit ribosomal RNA", at positions 77 to 507 of the family's 1533-position model. Lineage: Bacteria; Bacillati; Actinomycetota; Actinomycetes; Mycobacteriales; Nocardiaceae. The record is from RNAcentral.
CCUUCGGGGUACACGAGCGGCGAACGGGUGAGUAACACGUGGGUGAUCUGCCUCGCACUUCGGGAUAAGCCUGGGAAACUGGGUCUAAUACCGGAUAUGACCUGCUGUCGCAUGGCGGUGGGUGGAAAGAUUUAUCGGUGCGAGAUGGGCCCGCGGCCUAUCAGCUUGUUGGUGGGGUAAUGGCCUACCAAGGCGACGACGGGUAGCCGGCCUGAGAGGGCGACCGGCCACACUGGGACUGAGACACGGCCCAGACUCCUACGGGAGGCAGCAGUGGGGAAUAUUGCACAAUGGGCGAAAGCCUGAUGCAGCGACGCCGCGUGAGGGAUGACGGCCUUCGGGUUGUAAACCUCUUUCGACAGGGACGAAGCGCAAGUGACGGUACCUGUAGAAGAAGCACCGGCCAACUACGUG